AUGGGGGCCCCUGCGGUGGGCAGAAUAACGGCCACUGCAAAGAUGCCAAAUCUUAUCCCCAGAGCUUCCGCAGAGAUCCUGCAGAUGUGAUUCGAGUCUUCCAGCAACACCACCUCACUCUGCUUUGCACAAUCACUCCACCUCCCCACAUGUUGCGGAGAUUCUCCUGGCUGUGACACGGGAAACAUCCUCCACCAGGUCUUCUCUCACAGUGUGGCCUCUGCGCACAGGUUAUCCACCUGUAGACCUGGACGGGACCCUCGAGGCUCCCUACUCUGACCAUCUGGUUUUAUAGUUGAGGAACCAGAAGCCGAGGCAGGUAACUUGGUGCAGCCUAAAGGCCUCCAUCCCUCCAGUGCCCACAACUUAGGUGCCCACGACAACAACACUGGCCUACCGCAAAGACCCAGCCCAGAGGAACAAGGUGCCACUGUAUGUCUGAAAAGGGGGCCCUCGGCCUCACUGGGGAGCACCUUCCUCCAUCAGGGUCUCGACGGUGAAGAAGCAGGCUGUUUCCAUCUUCAGGA
RNAcentral lists this long non-coding RNA (527 nucleotides) under Homo sapiens (human). RNAcentral describes it as "non-protein coding LINC00112:5". The record is from RNAcentral. Lineage: Eukaryota; Metazoa; Chordata; Mammalia; Primates; Hominidae.